This 73-nucleotide transfer RNA is filed under the name Yellowstone lake phycodnavirus 1. It matches the Rfam family "tRNA". From Rfam's summary of the family: Transfer RNA (tRNA) molecules are approximately 80 nucleotides in length. Their secondary structure includes four short double-helical elements and three loops (D, anti-codon, and T loops). Lineage: Varidnaviria; Bamfordvirae; Nucleocytoviricota; Megaviricetes; Algavirales; Phycodnaviridae. The record is from Rfam by way of RNAcentral.
GCCUCUGUAGCUCAAUUGGUAGAGCACUCGUUUAGUAAGCGAGAGGUAUUGAGAUCAAAACUCAACGGAGGCA